GACGAACGCUGGCGGCGUGCUUAACACAUGCAAGUCGAACGGUGAAGCGCCUUCCUUUUUGGUGGGUGUGGAUGAGUGGCGAACGGGUGAGUAACACGUGAGUAACCUGCCCCCUUCUUCUGGAUAACCGCAUGAAAGUGUGGCUAAUACGGGAUAUUCUGGGUCUGUCGCAUGAUGGGUCUGGGAAAGAUAUUGUUUCGGUGGGGAUGGGCUCGCGGCCUAUCAGCUUGUUGGUGGGGUGAUGGCCUACCAAGGCGGUGACGGGUAGCCGGCCUGAGAGGGUGGGCGGUCACACUGGGACUGAGACACGGACCAGACUCCUACAGGAGGCAGCAGUGGGGAAUAUUGCACAAUGGGCGCAAGCCUGAUGCAGCGACGCCGCGUGAGGGAUGGAGGCCUUCGGGUUGUGAACCUCUUUCGCCAGUGAAGCAGGCCUGCCUCGUUUGUGGGUGGGUUGACGGUAGCUGGAUAAGAAGCGCCGGCUAACUACGUG
This 493-nucleotide ribosomal RNA is filed under the name uncultured bacterium. RNAcentral describes it as "partial 16S ribosomal RNA". It matches the Rfam family "Bacterial small subunit ribosomal RNA", at positions 28 to 507 of the family's 1533-position model. The record is from RNAcentral.